UCCACGCAGUAAACGAUGAAUGUUAGUCGUUGGGUCUCUAGUAGAUUCAGUGAUGCAGUUAACACAUUAAACAUUCCGCCUGGGGAGUACGGUCGCAAGAUUAAAACUCAAAGGAAUAGACGGGGACCCGCACAAGUGGUGGAGCAUGUGGUUUAAUUCGAAGAUACGCGAAGAACCUUACCUAGCCUUGACAUUGAAGAAACACACUAGAGAUAGAGUGGUGCCCUUCGGGG
RNAcentral lists this ribosomal RNA (233 nucleotides) under uncultured bacterium. RNAcentral's name for it is "partial 16S ribosomal RNA". It matches the Rfam family "Bacterial small subunit ribosomal RNA", at positions 794 to 1025 of the family's 1533-position model. The record is from RNAcentral.